RNAcentral lists this ribosomal RNA (513 nucleotides) under uncultured Candida. RNAcentral describes it as "eukaryotic LSU rRNA". It matches the Rfam family "Eukaryotic large subunit ribosomal RNA", at positions 62 to 665 of the family's 3401-position model. The record is from RNAcentral. Lineage: Eukaryota; Fungi; Ascomycota; Saccharomycetes; Saccharomycetales.
AAACCAACAGGGAUUGCCUCAGUAACGGCGAGUGAAGCGGCAAAAAGCUCAAAUUUGAAAUCCCCCCGGGGAAUUGUAAUUUGAAGAUUGUGUUUUGGAAACGACCGUGUCUAUGUUCCUUGGAACAGGACGUCACAGAGGGUGAGAAUCCCGUGCGGCACGGCCACCGUUUCCUUAUAAAACACUCUCGACGAGUCGAGUUGUUUGGGAAUGCAGCUCAAAGUGGGUGGUAAAUUCCAUCUAAAGCUAAAUACAGGCGAGAGACCGAUAGCGAACAAGUACAGUGAUGGAAAGAUGAAAAGCACUUUGAAAAGAGAGUGAAACAGUACGUGAAAUUGUUGAAAGGGAAGGGCAUGCCGUCAGAUUGUCAGUGUGGGUAAGAAGCGGGGUACAAAGACUGUGGAACGUGGCCCUCGGGUGUUAUAGCCACAGUUCAUCCCCCGUCUCUUUCCGAGGCCUGCUUUGAGGACACCGACGUAAUGACCGGUACGCCCCCCGUCUUGAAACCACGGA